UACAGAGGUCCCGAGCGUUGUUCGGAUUCACUGGGCGUAAAGGGUGCGUAGGUGGUUGGGUAAGUCUGAUGUGAAAUCUCCGGGCUCAACCCGGAAAUGGCAUUGGAUACUAUUCGGCUAGAGGUUUGGAGGGGGGACUGGAAUUCUCGGUGUAGCAGUGAAAUGCGUAGAUAUCAGGAGGAACACCCGUGGCGAAGGCGGCUCUCUGGGACGGUACUGACGCUGAGACGCGAAAGCGUGGGGAGCGAACAGG
This 253-nucleotide ribosomal RNA is filed under the name uncultured bacterium. RNAcentral describes it as "partial 16S ribosomal RNA". It matches the Rfam family "Bacterial small subunit ribosomal RNA", at positions 524 to 776 of the family's 1533-position model. The record is from RNAcentral.